GCCCUGGUGGUGUAGCCCGGUCUAAUCGGGGGCGAGGAGUCCCCGAGGCCAAACAUACAGGCCUGUCGAGCCUGUGCCCCGGGUUCAAAUCCCGGCCAGGGCGCCA
Molecule: transfer RNA, 106 nt
Filed under: Hadesarchaea archaeon
Lineage: Archaea; Methanobacteriati; Hadarchaeota (SeqCode); Hadarchaeia (SeqCode)
Description: tRNA-Asp
Source: RNAcentral